GUGGGGAAUAUUCCGCAAUGGACGAAAGUCUGACGGAGCAACGCCGCGUGAGUGAUGAAGGUUUUCGGACUGUAAAGCUCUGUUGUUUAGGACGAAAGUGCCUGUUGCAAAUAGUUACAGGUAUUGACGGUACUGAACGAGGAAGCCACGGCUAACUACGUGCCAGCAGCCGCGGUAAUACGUAGGUGGCAAGCGUUGUCCGGAAUUAUUGGGCGUAAAGAGCAUGUAGGCGGGAAUCUAAGUCUGUUGUGAAAAUGCGGGGCUCAACCCCGUAUUGCGAUGGAAACUGGGUUUCUUGAGUGCAGGAGAGGAAAGGGGAAUUCCCAGUGUAGCGGUGAAAUGCGUAGAUAUUGGGAGGAACACCAGUGGCGAAGGCGCCUUUCUGGACUGUGUCUGACGCUGAGAUGUGAAAGCCAGGGUAGCGAACGGGAUUAGAUACCCUAGUAGUCC
RNAcentral lists this ribosomal RNA (450 nucleotides) under uncultured bacterium. RNAcentral describes it as "partial 16S ribosomal RNA". It matches the Rfam family "Bacterial small subunit ribosomal RNA", at positions 354 to 796 of the family's 1533-position model. The record is from RNAcentral.